Salarias fasciatus (jewelled blenny) is the source of this 188-nucleotide long non-coding RNA. RefSeq lists it as uncharacterized. Lineage: Eukaryota; Metazoa; Chordata; Actinopteri; Blenniiformes; Blenniidae. The transcript is spliced from 3 exons. The record is from RefSeq and is a predicted model, not a curated record.
GACUGAGUGUUGCUGUGAGACAAAGAAAGGAGAUUUGAAGAUAAAGUCUCCUGAUUUAAAAUGUGACGUCGACAACGAAAACUGUGACUGCCCGUCUAAAGCUUCUGAUGCCAAAUGCUGUGAUCACGAAUUGUUUUACGAGGACAAGCAGUUGUGUUGUGGCAAGAAUGGUGAGAAGAAACUCCUCA